GACGAACGCUGGCGGCGUGCUUAACACAUGCAAGUCGAACGGAAAGGCCCUGCUUUUGUGGGGUGCUCGAGUGGCGAACGGGUGAGUAACACGUGAGUAACCUGCCCUUGACUUUGGGAUAACUUCAGGAAACUGGGGCUAAUACCGGAUAGGUGCUCCUGCUGCAUGGUGGGGGUUGGAAAGUUUCGGCGGUUGGGGAUGGACUCGCGGCUUAUCAGCUUGUUGGUGGGGUAGUGGCUUACCAAGGCUUUGACGGGUAGCCGGCCUGAGAGGGUGACCGGCCACAAUGGGACUGAGAGACGGCCCAGAAGCCUACGGGAGGCAGCAGGGGGGAAUAUUGCACAAUGGGCGGAAGCCUGAUGCAGCAACGCCGCGUGCGGGAUGACGGCCUUCGGGUUGUAAACAGCUUUCGAAUGUGACGAAGCGUGAGUGACGGUAAUGGGUAAAGAAGCACCGGCUAACUACGUG
This 468-nucleotide ribosomal RNA is filed under the name uncultured bacterium. Its description in RNAcentral is "partial 16S ribosomal RNA". It matches the Rfam family "Bacterial small subunit ribosomal RNA", at positions 28 to 507 of the family's 1533-position model. The record is from RNAcentral.